UAUAUCGACGGCUGAACAACAUUUUAAAUUAUUAAUAAAUGAGUAGCUCAUUAGAUAAAUCGAUAGAUUUAAGAAACGAAAGUACAUAAUGGUCGAAUUUUGCUUUCAGACUUUGUAACUCUGUUGCAAUAGUCUUUAACAUAAAUUGUACUAUAACCUAAAUCUGAUUUUUUCAACACAUUAAAUUCAAAUUUCACGUUUGCACGAAAAAUUUUAUCUAAUUGCAGCUGUUAUACAAUAUCCAUAAGGACGGGUACUUGACACAAGAAACGACGUGAGGAACAAAAGAUAUUCUGUAAUCGGAUUUUUGGAAAUUUACCAGUUUUAUUUUUUACUUUAUUUUUAUUGCACGCGUUCGUACGGAACCGUGUGUCGCAUCUCUCGCUUUUCUACGACGAUCCAAACAUUUCCCCAAUGAUGUUGUGAAAGCAAGAACCGCAUAACGAUACUAUCGGCAAUGGAAUAUCACAAUUCAGAAACGAAAGACGAUCAAAACAUCUUUACCUCCGGGGAAAGAAGGAACAAUGUUGCCAUAAAUUAUGUUUGACCUACAUGAAUUACACGACGCAGUAGAAAAGCAGGUUUCAUUAAAGAAAAAGAGAUUAUUAAAUCCUGUAAGCAAUUCACUUUUUAUUCCUACGUGGCUUUUUUCCUUUAUCACCUGUUCCCAAACAAAAAGGCCGCUGCAGAAACAAUCCUAGCGAUCUUGUCUGUUCCGAUUCGACGAUUUUAUCAUGUGUUAUCCUGUCUGAAUCGCAUUCAAGUGUUAUUUAUGCGUCUAAAUCAGUGGAACAUUCAUCGAACCAUUUGCGAUCUGUUUCAAUCAACUUGAGUUAUCGAAUUGUAUUUUCGAACAACGAAAGAGAAUGCCAAAGAUUCGUUCGACAUCUUAUUCACCUUGUUUCUUCCAUCUAGACUUUACUUUACUUUACUUUACUAUAGCUUUACGAUUUUAUCAGAUACAACGAAAUUGAUAUUUAUAAUGUAUAAAAUAUGACACGUGAAACUAUAAAAAUUGAUAAAUAUAAUAAAUAUAUAAAUAUCCAAUUAAUAUAUAAAUAUAUAAAUACACAUAUGCUUUGUAUAUUAUAAAUAUCGAUUUCAAAAAUAUAUUGCAUAUAAUAUAUAUUAUAAUUAAUGGAUGAGACAUUAACGGUUGGUGCUUGAUGAGUUAAGCGAAUACCAUGAUCGUUUAGGCAAAUAGUUUCAGGAAAGAGAUGACGAAACCGAUAAUAACAGAAUAUCGUUUUAUUUUUAGAAAUCGAACGAGGGAGCGAAUGAUUUAUUCGACGUUUUACUCGAUUGCAAUCAUGCGUUACUAAACGAGAAUAACAAAAUCGUGGAAGAAUACAGGGGGAAAAAUUCCGAAAUGAACAGAUACGAACGAAGCGUAUAUUCGCGUUGAAUUUAUAAAGAAUUCAGGACGAGAAAGAAUACGUUCGCAAAAAAUCGUAUUUGCGCCAAAAAUCGAUACAAUCGUGUUCUUUUAUUGCCACGAGAUUUCUCAAAUUUCAAAGUAAGGCGAGAGACAGGUUAUCGACGCCUGUCAUCUCUGCUUUUAAUGUCGUGUUAAACGUGCCCGUACGUACGUUAAAUACCUUUAUGCUCGGAGACAAGACGAGACGUAAAAGUUCGAGAGUCAAGCGAAGAUUUACAUACGUGUUUACGUCUUUUAACGUCACAUUUUUAUACCAACAACUGGUUUAAAUCAUGUAUGCAGAACAAUUAAAUUUCCUAUUGAUCUUGCGUAAUUCGAACGAUCUUCUGUUUUCUCUGCGUGAACGCAUUCUUUUCUUCCAAAAUAUUUUCCGCGAUUAUCAAUUGCACCACCUUCUUCCUGAAAAACGUCUGUCUGAUUUUACACAUAGUAACAGCGCGCAGAACCGUUCGAGAAUUAUUCGUCGAAAAUGAACAGGUCCCGUUACACAAAAUCCGCGAAUAUCCUUAAACGUCGUUGAAAAAGAAGUAUCAUAGACUUGUCCGAACAAAGGGAGUAAUAUAAUCGUAGCGUUUGUGUUUAUGGAACAGUAACGCCAAUAAGGAGACUAAAAAAACCAUAAUCGGAAAUCUACGCGAUAUUGGAGCAGGCGGCGAACGACGUGCAGAGAUAAGAAAAAAGAAAUGACCAAGACGUCUGAGCCUUUCUAUGUAAGAAAUUUCGUAGAUUUGUCUAGCGUGAUGCAUUAUUAGCGAUUCUUUAUUCUAGGCACAUACGUUUCAGGGACAAUCAUAAUCGUCGAUUAUUCUAAAUGCGACAAAAGCGUCGCGUAAAGCAUCGCGUAACGUGUCGAGGAUCUUAGUUUAGACUCGAUGAAGUUGCGCGAUAGAGUUGCUCUAUUAAAGUACGGUAAUUAAUAAACGAAGUUAUAAAUGAAGGUAUAUCUGGUCCUUAAGGUCUCGGAAAGUUUUUAAGUUAAGUUAAGAUUUAUAAAUUAACAAGAUUAGAACUCGUGUUGCAUCACAUUAUUAUAAUUUAAUGUUUACAAGGAGCAAGAUGCCUGCUAAAGCAGCCGAUAUUUACGUACAGUUACAUGCUUACAUCAAAGUUUGUUUGAUCUGCCACUAACCGGUUAACUGCGUUCGACAUGUACACACGUCAUUCCUGAACUUCAUUUUGGUACGAUUGACGCGUAUACUCGUCGUGUGAAAUAAAAAAUUUACCGUUUACUAUAAAGGUCCGAAACUUUAGCAAAAUGUAAUAUAAAUAUGUAUAAAUGUAAAUAUAUUGCUUUUUAUAAA
Molecule: long non-coding RNA, 2739 nt
Organism: Bombus terrestris (buff-tailed bumblebee)
Lineage: Eukaryota; Metazoa; Arthropoda; Insecta; Hymenoptera; Apidae
Exons: 2
Source: RefSeq, a predicted model, not a curated record